AGCGGCCACAGGGCUUGACGUUGGACCCUGAGUACCACAGGGCACGAGGAACCCGGUGGGAAGCAGGGGGGACCACCCUCCAAGGCUAAAGACCUUCAGCGACCGAUAGCGGACAGAGUACCGUGAGGGAAAGGUGAAAAGCACCCCGAGAGGGGGAUGAAAGAGUGCCUGAAACCGCGUACGCCAGAAGCAGUCAGAGGCCCAUGCCGUGGCAGGCCGGCGGGCAGUCCCCAGGCGACUGGGGCAGCCCGAGCAGGCGCCACGUGCGGGUUGAUGGCGUGCCUUUUGUAGAAUGAUCCGGCGAGUGCAUCGUCGUUGCCGCAGGUUAACCUCCCUCCAGAGGAGGGGAGCCGUAGGGAAACCGAGUCUGAAGAGGGCGUCGCCUCCAGAUCCUGGAGGCAGGUAGCGGCGAUGGGACCCGAAACCGUGUGAGCUACCCAUGGCCAGAGUGAAGCGGAUGUGACAAUCCGUCGAGGCUCGCACCCACUGGUGUUGCAAAACCAGGGGAGGAGCUGUGGGUAGGGGUGAAAUGCCAAGCGAACACGGAGAUAGCUGGUUCUCCCCGAAAUGCAUGGAGGUGCAGCCCGCCGCGGCAGCGCUGGGAGGUAGAGCGCUGUGUGGGUGCGGGGCCAGGAGCUGGUUACCAAGCUCAUGCAAACUGCGAAUGCCCAGCGCGAGAAGCGGGGCGGCGGAGUGAGUCUGGCGGGGAUAACCUCGUCAGACGAGAGGGGAACAACCCAGACCACCGGCUAAGGUCUCCAAGGGGCUGCUGAGUGGGAAAGGAGGUCAGCUGGCCCAGACAGCCAGGAUGUUGGCUUAGAAGCAGCCAUCAUUGAAAGAGUGCGUAAUAGCUCACUGGUCGAGCGAGCUGGCGCCGACAACAUCAGGAGGCUGAAGCAGCCGACCGAAGCCGUGGAGCCUUGCGAAUGCGAGGCUGGUAGGGGAGCGUUCCGCCAGCGGAGAAGCCGGACCGGAAGGACCGGUGGAGCGGGCGGAAGUGCGAAUGCCGGAAUGAGUAGCGCCAAGGAGGGUGAAAAUCCCUCCCACCGAAAGCCUGAGGGUUCCUGGGCACCGUUGAUCGACCCAGGGUCAGGCGGGCCCUAAGCCGAGGACGGUAGGUCGUAGGCGAUGGAGAGCAGGUAGACAAUCCUGCCCCAGAGGGCGUCGUGAAGAGCGAAGGGGGGACGCGGUAGGGAAGGUGAACCCAUCGAGUGGACAGGAUGGGCUGCCUGUCGGAAGCGAGGCGUCGAGGGAAAGCCCGAUGCCACCAGGCGUGACCGCAGGCACGAGCCUCCGCGAGGAGGCGACAAGUCAUCGACUCCCAGGCCGCCCAGAAAAGCCUCUAGCCAGACGUGCCUCUGCCCGUACCGCAACCCGACACCGGUAGGCAGGGGGGCAAUCCCCCCAGGUGAACGAGUGAGCCUCUGUCAAGGAACUCGGCAACUUGGCCCCGUACCUUCGGAAGAAGGGGCGCCUUCGUAGCUGGCGCAGACCGGAGGGGUGCCCGCAAGGGGACUCGAAGCAGGUCGGCGUUGGUGAGGAGGCCGCAGGAAUAGGCCCAGGCGACUGUUUACCAAAAACACAGGUCCCUGCGAACGCGAAAGCGGACAUAUAGGGGCUGACUCCUGCCCAGUGCCGGAAGGUGAAGCUGGCAGGUGCACGAAGCUUGCCAGGGAAGCCCCGGUGAACGGCGGCCGUAACUCUAACGGUCCUAAGGUAGCGAAAUUCCUUGUCGGGUAAGUUCCGACCCGCACGAAAGGAGGAACGACCUGGGCGCUGUCUCGACAGAGGGCUCGGCGAAAUUGCAGUACCCGUGAAGAUGCGGGUUACCCACGACAGGACAAAAAGACCCCGUGGAGCUUGACUCUAGCCUGGCCUGGUGCCGAGGGCACACCUGCGGAGGAUAGGUGGGAGCCGAAGAAGCCGCCCUUGUGGGGGCGGUGGAGGCGCCGGUGAAAUACCACUCUGGUGUGUUGUCGGGACUCAUGUUGCAGCGGUAGAGCCCGCCAGCAGACAGGGCUAGGUGGGGAGUUUGACUGGGGCGGUCGCCUCCUAAAGGGUAACGGAGGCGCCCAAAGGUUCCCUCAAGGUGGAUGGACAUCACCUGAAGCGUGUACAGGCAGAAGGGAGCUUGACUGCGAGGCCAACAAGCCGAGCAGGGACGAAAGUCGGGCUGAGUGAUCCCACAUGUCCGAGUGGAAGGCGUGUGGCGCAACGGACAAAAGCUACCCCGGGGAUAACAGGCUGAUCCUGCCCAAGAGUUCCCAUCGACGGCAGGGUUUGGCACCUCGAUGUCGGCUCGGCGCAUCCUGGGGCUGGAGUAGGUCCCAAGGGUUGGGCUGUUCGCCCAUGAAAGCGCCACGUGAGCUGGGUUCAGAACGUCGUGAGACAGUUCGGUCUCUAUCCGUCGUGGGCGAGAGGAAGCGUGAGGGGAGUCCGCUCUAGUACGAGAGGACCGAGAGGGCUUGACCGCUGGUGAGCCGGUUGGCCUGCCCAGGCCAGCGCCGGGUAGCUACGUCAGGCGAGGAGAAGCGCUGAAAGCAUCUAAGCGCGAAGCCGACCCCAAGAGUCGCUUCCCCCUCCAGGCUGGCAAGCCAGCCGGAGAUAAGGUCCCAGGCAGAUCACCUGGUCGAUAGACCGGAGGUGGACACCUGGUAACAGGUGCAGCUGACCGGCCCUAAUGACCGAACGGCUUGU
Molecule: ribosomal RNA, 2697 nt
Filed under: Thermogemmatispora onikobensis
Lineage: Bacteria; Bacillati; Chloroflexota; Ktedonobacteria; Thermogemmatisporales; Thermogemmatisporaceae
Description: bacterial LSU rRNA
Rfam family: Bacterial large subunit ribosomal RNA
Source: RNAcentral